GGCAGAGGGAGACCGGCUUCCGUGAGCGCACACCGUGCGCGCAUGAGGAAAGUCCCCCCACCCGCUGGGCGGGUGACCGGGCGCAAGCCCGGGGCGGGAGACCGUCGGCGCUGGAACAGAAACGAGACCCCUCCACCCGACCGAUGAGGCGUGCGAACCCGGACCGACGCGGCGCGAGCCGAUAAGGAAUGGGGAGUUGACCCGCCGAGGGCCGGGCCGUUCCGCGAAGAACGGCCAACGGGCGGGCGGCGGACGCCGCUGGCCCGCCGCGUCGCGCCUUCCGGCGCGACGCAGACGGUGGAGAACGGAUGGAACGGCGAAUCCUCACCGGUGCAAGUCCGUGCCGACAGGUAGCCCGGCACCGCGCGAACGCGCUGGGCACGGACGCUGAGCCGAAUGCCGAGAGAACAGAAGGGGGCUUACUCCCCUCAGCC
This 434-nucleotide RNase P RNA is filed under the name Halomicrobium mukohataei. RNAcentral's name for it is "RNase P RNA component". It matches the Rfam family "Archaeal RNase P". From Rfam's summary of the family: Ribonuclease P (RNase P) is a ubiquitous endoribonuclease, found in archaea, bacteria and eukarya as well as chloroplasts and mitochondria. Its best characterised activity is the generation of mature 5'-ends of tRNAs by cleaving the 5'-leader elements of precursor-tRNAs. Cellular RNase Ps are ribonucleoproteins. RNAcentral also lists the same sequence under 2 other names. Lineage: Archaea; Methanobacteriati; Methanobacteriota; Halobacteria; Halobacteriales; Haloarculaceae. The record is from RNAcentral.